GAGCCCGUGGCUCAAUGGUAGAGCGUUCGACUCAAAUCCGAAAGGUCGCGGGUUCAAAUCCCAGGUGUUCC
Molecule: transfer RNA, 71 nt
Filed under: Schistocephalus solidus
Lineage: Eukaryota; Metazoa; Platyhelminthes; Cestoda; Diphyllobothriidea; Diphyllobothriidae
Rfam family: tRNA (bases 1-56)
About the family: Transfer RNA (tRNA) molecules are approximately 80 nucleotides in length. Their secondary structure includes four short double-helical elements and three loops (D, anti-codon, and T loops).
Source: Rfam by way of RNAcentral